Molecule: non-coding RNA, 104 nt
Organism: Acanthosepion pharaonis
Lineage: Eukaryota; Metazoa; Mollusca; Cephalopoda; Sepiida; Sepiidae
Source: the annotation of a GenBank genome assembly
AUCACGUUAAAACACCGUUUCCCGUACGAUCACCGAGGUUAAGGAACGUUGACCUUGGUCAGUACCUAAAUGGGUGCCCGCCUGGUUAUACCAGGUGCUGUAAG